UGAUACUUGUGUGCACCUGAUUUGGCC
Molecule: non-coding RNA, 27 nt
Filed under: Homo sapiens (human)
Lineage: Eukaryota; Metazoa; Chordata; Mammalia; Primates; Hominidae
Source: RNAcentral